AGGUAAGUUGUGAUCUUAAGGAGUUGGCAUGGGCACAGAUCCAGGGGAGACCAAAGGCAAGCAGAUGAUGAUGGGAGGUGUCAUGAGAGUAGGUCAAAGACAGGAGAAAAGAGAAAAGAGUGAGGAAAUUUUAGAAUAACCGUUCUGCUGCAGUUUCCAGGGAAGACAGCCGUAUUUUCAGCAAUGAAAAGGUUAAUUAAUUCUCUUGACAACUUCUCCCCCUCCUUACAGAAGUCUAUCUCAGAAAUAAUCAAAGUAUUAAAUGAAUAUUGCACUAGUCCAAAUAAGUACAAUCAUCUUCCAGGAGUAUUUACAUGUUGGGCUAUAAUUAGCAGCCUCCUUGGCACCAGCCCACAUGAGUUGACAGGUCACCGUUUCCAUUACAUACUACAUUUUUCCGUAUCAUUGCUCAGUCUUGAGUGAUUAUGAAAUGAAUGAUUUCAUGAGUUAACCAGACUCAGCAAAGAUGAGGGAUUGAGUGAGACAUGGUGGAGACCAGAAGAGGAGCAAGUGAUUUUUCUCACCAGGAACUUCCUGAGAAUCAUCAACACCUCAGUUAAGUGACUACCUCCGAAACUGUGCUUUUUUAAAGUAUGGUUUUCAAGUAGUCUGAGAAGUGGAAUUUCAAGAUUUUUGUGAUUCCUAGUGAUGAUGAAACAUUUCUUCCCUAACUAAGCUUCUUCCUCCUAUUGAGGUAGAGGGCAGGGCUAUGUCCAAACUAGUAGAAGAUAUCUCACGUGGUACUUAAAAACUCAAAGAUGUUCUUGAAUGCCUUUUCUUCCUAGACCUUGCUGUUAGCUGCUCAGAUAUGACAGGACAUCUAAGGAAGCACAGUGAAGCUUCAGACCAAAAAUGAACAGCCUGUGAAGGAAAGUUACUUAGGAUCAGAGACGCAGGAGGAUGAGUCCUUAGAACUGGUUUCCCCCACUGCAUUUGCUGAGACUUUCCAGUUGUCCCCCACGCAUUGCAGCCAUGUCCCAUACAUUCCAGUCAGACAACGGCUGGACUAUGCUAAUGCUGCAACUGAGAUGAAGCCUUACACAACUUUAAUACCAACACCCCCCUUGGCCUGACCCCAUAAAAUGAGGCUUAAUUAACUUAAAUAAACAACUUAAAUUAACUUAAUUAAAUUCUGCAACUAUAGUCAAGACCAGCUUCACAAAUUCACAAUAUUGUUUUUUUCCCCUCAGGAAAGACAUCACAAGCUUUACAGUGAAACUGGGUUAGGAUUUUAUUUAUCUUUUCAAUAAUCUAUUGCUUUUUUUUUAAUAUUUCUGGCUUUCUCCCUUAUUUAAAGGAAACUGUUGCUAUAGAUAAUCUAUACAUAUUCAAAGAAGUAACUAACAGCUUUUAUGAAAAUGCCUUGUUACAGAUUGAAAAGCAGUGCAAGUCAUUAGAAUAAAGUCAAAAUUUUCAGUGAGGAAGUGAGAUAAAUGGACAUUUCCCUGUGGAAAGGGAUCUUUUUCCUGUCAGAAAAUGCUAAUUCAUCUAAUUUGAAAUGUUCCACAGAAAGAUGACAACACAGUUGAUCACAAAUUCUUGUGAAACAAACCAGCAAACAAACAAACAAAAACCGUGAUAAAAAAAACCAUUUCAACUUGAAAGGUUCAAUUUCGAUCAUCUUUAAUGUCACACUUCAAACGACUUUCUCUUAAUUAUGCUAAUGUCAAAUUUAAUUGUAUAAUAAAAAACGAAAUGUAGAAAGGAAUAAUUUUCUUUCACCUAAGUCCAACACUUGAAUCAAAAUGAAAGUAAUUUGUUUUCCUAACUUAAUUCAGAAUUACUCGGCAUUUCUGUUUCAUUGCAUUCUGCAACAGAAGAAUGUUUACAUCACGAAAGUCCCACUCUCAAGUGAAAAUAUUCAUCUGCUACAUAGCUCCUGGAAGCAAGGAUAACACCUAAAAGAUUUCUUGUGAAAGCAUGAGAUCGUUGCCUUGCCUCUAGAUGCACCCAACUGGCAUUUGAUUGGUUUGUGAUGUUGGAAUAAAAGAUAGGGGAAAUGAAGGUUUGAUGAUGGAAUAACAUGGAGUAUAGAAACACAGGCUUUAUUACUAUUUUUGUUAUUUUACUGAACAAUGUUACUCAUAAAUGUUCAAAAUAGAUGUAUGCAUAAAUCUAGAAAAAAUAACAAUGAGGACAUUCUCACCUUUUCUCUUUCAAAACUGUUACCAUCCUUACUUUGUCAUUCAGAUAUGCAGGUUGCCUAUUUGCAAGAGCAGCUGGGUGGGCAGAGGGCCAGUGAGGUGGGCACCCACACCAGAGUCCUCCGGUCUCCCUGGAUGGCUUUUUACCUUCUAGCUGGAAAAUCAGCCCUACAUAAUAUAAGGGUUUUGCAGAAAUGAUGGCUCUUGGUUUGGUACCAUGUUGACUCCUCAUUUAACUGGGUUUCUGCUUGGAUGUGAGCUCCAAAAACUCCUAUUCUGCAUUCCUUCUCACUAGCCCCCUCAGAAGAAGAUCCAUGCUGCAGUUUUGGUGGGAUUGUAAAAGUGGUAUUGAAGGGGGAGGAGGGAAAUGAAAGAUAAAGCAUUUAAGAUGCACACAGAUUUCAAGCUGAUGUCCUGCCUGGCUGCUGUGAGGAGAAAGGAACAUUAAUGCUGGCCCACACCUACAGGCUCUCCUGCAGUUGCAACUGGACAAAGAUGCCAAGAAGGAGAAGUGCCUCCUUCAGCCAGGAGAAAGCAAUGAGUAGCUAGGUGCUGCAACAGAGACAAUACCAGGUAACCUGCAUGUCUGAGCACAACUAAACAAAGCUCCCUGAAUUUCAGCUAUCCAAUGCCAGUACAAACUGCUUUGUAAAUAAGCUUCAGAUCAAGAAUUUCUCCAGGAAUAACUCUCUGGCAAACCAUUAUCCAAGCAUGCCAGAGAGGCAGGAUUUGAUGGCCAAGAUUAUGCACGCAGGAGCUCAUCAACCUCAGGGGAGAUGAGAAAGCUAGGAAGAUCAAAGGACUGUCUGAGUCACCAGCUCAUCCACUUGGUUCUUGCCCCCAAGGAUGAGGAUGGAGAGAGGGUGAAGGGGACUUGCUGGGAACUCCUUCUCAACCUCCUCUCCUGCAGGGGUCUUUCAUCAGCCUAAAUGGAUCACCUACCUCUGCCCUGCUGAGAUGAAGCCCACUGAACCAGGUCAAGCUCUGCUCCCCACUGCAGCAGGUGCUCCUGUGGUGUUUCAGGGGAACAGUAAAACUGGAUCAUUUCAAGUACACUCCCACACAAAUGCUCAGCUAGGCUGAGUCACCAGGAGCAGGCUGGUAAUCUCAGCAGGGUCUCAUGCCUGGCUGCAGUGCCAGUACAGCCCUGAGGGGAGCACACAUUAUCUCCAGAGAAGAGCUCCUGGAGGGUAUACUGUAGGAAAAAAACACUUUUGACUCAUUUUAUGAGGAACUUGUGCAUAGAAAGCCCUACUUGACUUUGGAAAUACCUGAUUGCAUGUGUAAUGUUGGUACAGUGUUGCAUAAAGCUUUCUCUAACAUGAUUGCAGGAUGGUUGUAUUACAUGCAAACAAAACCACUCUGUGGAUAUUAUACGAUAUGGAUAUUAUAUAUUUUCUGUGGAAAAACAAUUCCAGGACUGAUCUAGGUGGCUUUAACACAUUUUUUGGAACUGUUUUCAAAAAGACCCUCACUUGUUGCAGCCAGCUGUGUUAGUUUCUGUGAGGACAAACAUACAGGGUUUUGAGAAUAUCAUGCAUAUCGAUAAUUGAAUUAUUUUCUGAUCCUACAGACAUUGCAGUUUUAAAGCCCUUGAGGAUCUGCUCUUCCUGGGCUGGACACAACUGCUGAUUCCUCUUGCAGUGCUGGGCACAACCCCUUUCUGAUGGAAGUCAGCUCCCCUUUUCAGCUGCAGUGACAGAAUUGAAAAUGUGCCCAACAGGAAAGCUGGAGCGGGUUUGGUAUUGACUCUGUCUCCCCUUGGCACUCUUGCUAGGGUAAAUUUGCAACUGAAAUUCCAGAUUUGGCAAGAAAAAGAAGAACCAUUUUCCUGGCAGCCCUCCCUAGGUACUCAGGAGAGUAGAUGGGGGGUGGUAGCCACAGAACAGAUGGCAGCGUGGGUUGAAGGUAGGUAAAGUGGUCAAAGAUGUGCAAUAAAUAGAUUUAACAAAUAUGUUACACCACAACAUGUGUGACACAUGCAUGUAGUUUGCCACGAAGAGCAGGAUGCCAGGGUGAUACCUCACUUACGCAAAUGACUGGGUAUUUGUGCUGUAUGGAUGAGCACAGCCCUUCUGUCUUCACAUUAUUAUGUUUUUCAAGAGCGAUAUUUUAAAGAAAGAGAAAGGCAGCAAAGUUGAUAGCAACCUUUGAGAAACCAGCUUAUGCAAAGAGCCUCAGCCAAUGUAGUCUGAGAUGGGGAUAAGGCUGAAAAGAGAGAUGAAUGUCCAUAAAUAUCGAAACUGUGUCAUGAUGUAGAGUGGGUGUUGAUGCAAAGUGCAACAGAAUCAAGACAAUACAUAAAAAAUA
This is a long non-coding RNA of Pezoporus occidentalis (night parrot), 4454 nucleotides long. RefSeq lists it as uncharacterized. The record is from RefSeq and is a predicted model, not a curated record. The transcript is spliced from 3 exons. NCBI's taxonomy places the organism in Eukaryota, Metazoa, Chordata, Aves, Psittaciformes, Psittacidae.